CCUACGGGUGGCUGCAGUGGGGAAUAUUGGACAAUGGGCGAAAGCCUGAUCCAGCCAUGCCGCGUGUGUGAAGAAGGCCUUCGGGUUGUAAAGCACUUUCAGUGGGGAAGAAAGCCUUGGGGCUAAUACCCUCGAGGAAGGACAUCACCCACAGAAGAAGCACCGGCUAACUCCGUGCCAGCAGCCGCGGUAAUACGGAGGGUGUGAGCGUUAAUCGGAAUUACUGGGCGUAAAGCGCGCGUAGGCGGUCUGAUAAGCCGGUUGUGAAAGCCCCGGGCUCAACCUGGGAACGGCAUCCGGAACUGUCAGGCUAGAGUGCAGGAGAGGAAGGUAGAAUUCCCGGUGUAGCGGUGAAAUGCGUAGAGAUCGGGAGGAAUACCAGUGGCGAAGGCGGCCUUCUGGACUGACACUGACGCUGAGGUGCGAAAGCGUGGGUAGCAAACAGGAUUAGAUACCCUUGUAGUC
RNAcentral lists this ribosomal RNA (465 nucleotides) under Vreelandella stevensii. Its description in RNAcentral is "partial 16S ribosomal RNA". It matches the Rfam family "Bacterial small subunit ribosomal RNA", at positions 338 to 795 of the family's 1533-position model. Lineage: Bacteria; Pseudomonadati; Pseudomonadota; Gammaproteobacteria; Oceanospirillales; Halomonadaceae. The record is from RNAcentral.